AUGGUGCUCAUGUCGCUGGUGAGCCGGGCAGCUGUGGCCAUGCACAACUCCAGCGCCUCGGCGCCGGCACCGGCGCCGGGCAUGUGCAGCACCACGGACAUGGCGCUGAUGUGGAACCGCUCCAUGUCCGACACCCAACAGAGCACCACCGAGCGGCUCAUGGUCACCACCACUGCCCUCAUGACCUUCCUCGGCAUCGCGCUCUUCCUCCUCGGCGUCUUGGGCCGCUUCACCGGCCGCCACCGCGGCCACUCCCCCGUCACGUGCAUCUUCUUCCGGGCCACCUUCUCGCUCUUCCUCCCCUUCAUGUCCUACGCCUUCUCCCAGGCCAAGACCGAGGCCAAGACCGACCCCUGCAACAACUACCGCGCGCAGCUCAUCCUCCUCUGGAUGCUCCUCGUCGAGCUCCUCCGCAGCAAGGUCUCCGCCAUGGUGGCCCCUGCCGCCGGCGCCUUCUCGCGCGGUGUCGGCCGCUACAGCUCCUUGGACGCCGUUGAGGAGGCCGCGCGCUUGGUGUGGAUCGGGUACCUCAUCUUCACCUACGUCCAUAGCCCCGGCAUCAAAUCCUUCUUUAUCAUCCUCUGGAUCUUCGGCGUGGCCAAGAUGUGCAAGCGUGCUAUCUGCAUCCGCUGCGCCCAGGGCUCCUUUGACCUCGCCAGGAAUGCCGCCCUCGUCUCCGGCUACAUGGCGCAGCUCGUCCACGAACAACGGCAGCUGUCACAUGAUGACGUCGCCGCCGCCGCCGCGCUCGGCGCCAACGUCAUGAGGACUUGCAACUACGUGGUCAUGGGAGAGGCCCGGCUCAAGAGAGAGGUGACGCCCCAUGGCUUCGAGAUCUGCGACCAAGGAGUGAAGAACAUUCUCACUGGCGAUGGUGAUCCGAAUGGCGAGCAGCGCAAGAAGUCCAAGCUAGUCCGAGUGUGCAACAUCUGGGACCUCUCUGAGAGUGACCCCAUCUUCCGGUACAACGAGAGCAGGAGGCGCAAGAUGGAGGACAUCUGCCUUGCCCUCGCCCUCUUCAAGUUGCUCCGGCGAAAGAUGGAGCGCUUGGACAUGGCGGAGGCCAACACCCCGCAGGCGCGCGACCUCGUGUUGCGUGGCCUCCUCACCCUCGAAGGAGGCCAUGACGAGUCCGCCGACGCGGAGCGAGCGUUCCAGGUGGUUGAGCUAGAGCUCAGGUUCCUGGACGAGUACUACCAGGCCGUCAUCCCGUUGGCGCUGCCCAGGCCUGGGCUAUUCAUAGCCAACUUCGCUUUCUCCAUCGUCUUCAUCCUGAUAUACUGUGUCACCGUGCUUCUGGUCACCGGCCAUGGUGACAUCUUCAAAGUGCUGGGCUCCCUCUUCCGGGGCCUCGUCGGCCUAUCCUUCAACACGGCGCAGUACCAUCACUUCAAAGACAAGGUGGGCACCAUCGUCGAUAUGGUCUGCGACUCCUCCGACCUCAUCGUCACCUUCCUCCUCACGCUCACCCUACUCUCCGUCGAGGCGUAUGAGUUCUUGCAAUACCUGCUCUCUGACUGGUUCAUCGCAUCCUUGGUCUGCCACUACUCACGGAAGCAACGGGCCAUCCGGAAGCAGCUCGUCAAGGGUACCCUGUGGGUGAAGUACCGCUCGCGCCCCGUAAUUAAGGUCCACCAGGUAACCAUGCUCAAGCUCCACCAGCUUCACCCACACCGGGUGUGGGUACUCAUCUCCAGCAUGCUCAAGAAGCGCGUCGUCGGGCUCCCCGACGCCAUUGUCACCGCCGACGCCAAGCUGGUCAUCGUCAAGGCCUUGAAGGACGUCCUCGCGCCCAGCUCUGACAGGCGCUUCAGCAAUGGCAUAGCUGCAUUGAGAAGGCAUGGCUUCCAUCACUUGGAGUGGGCGUGCGACAACAAGAUGGGCGGCGCCGCAGUGAUCAUGGUGUGGCACGUCGCGACGGCACUGUUUGAGACAAGGGACCGGCAGAAGCACCCACUACCACCAUACGGCCAGGCUGCCCUGAUGCUGUCGAGGUACUGCGCGUACCUGGUGGCCUACGAGCCGGGGCUCCUCCCGGACGACGAGGCAUGGACAGACAAGGUGUACAAGGACAUGGUGACGGAGCUCAACAACUUCUUCCGGAGCUGCUCCACCACCGUGCGCCGCCGCGAGGGCCUGAUGAACUACUCCCCGGCUGGGGAGGAGGAGGAGAAUUCGGUCAUUGCCAAGGGUGUUAGGUUGGGGAAGCAGCUGGUGGACAGAGAGCAGCUGGAGGAUGGACCCAGCAGCAGCGCUGAUGGCAGCAUGCACAAGGACGAGAAGGUCUGGGGGAUGCUGCUCGAGUUCUGGGCGGAGCUGCUCGUGUUUGUGGCGCGCAGGCCGAUGGCGGGGCAAGAGGCGCACGCACGAGCUCUUGCCAAUGGCGGUGAGUUCAUCACCCACAUCUGGACCAUGCUCACCCAUGCUGGCAUCCGGGUCCCCAAGCGCGACCGGGAGGACCAAGCUCACCAAGUUUGA
RNAcentral lists this ribosomal RNA (2478 nucleotides) under Triticum aestivum (bread wheat). RNAcentral describes it as "partial small subunit ribosomal RNA". Lineage: Eukaryota; Viridiplantae; Streptophyta; Magnoliopsida; Poales; Poaceae. The record is from RNAcentral.